UGGGGAAUAUUGGACAAUGGGGGCAACCCUGAUCCAGCCAUGCCGCGUGUGUGAAGAAGGCCUUUUGGUUGUAAAGCACUUUAAGCAGUGAAGAAGACUCCAUGGUUAAUACCCAUGGACGAUGACAUUAGCUGCAGAAUAAGCACCGGCUAACUCUGUGCCAGCAGCCGCGGUAAUACAGAGGGUGCAAGCGUUAAUCGGAAUUACUGGGCGCAAAGCGAGCGUAGGUGGCUUGAUAAGUCAGAUGUGAAAGCCCCGGGCUUAACCUGGGAAUGGCAUCUGAUACUGUUAGGCUAGACUAGGUGAGAGGAAGGUAGAAUUCCAGGUGUAGCGGUGAAAUGCGUAGAGAUCUGGAGGAAUACCGAUGGCGAAGGCAGCCUUCUGGCAUCAUACUGACACUGAGGCUCGAAAGCGUGGGUAGCAAACAG
This 428-nucleotide ribosomal RNA is filed under the name uncultured bacterium. RNAcentral describes it as "bacterial SSU rRNA". It matches the Rfam family "Bacterial small subunit ribosomal RNA", at positions 355 to 775 of the family's 1533-position model. The record is from RNAcentral.